This 9703-nucleotide long non-coding RNA is filed under the name Phaseolus vulgaris (common bean). RNAcentral describes it as "long non-coding RNA (PVUL_LNC005208)". The record is from RNAcentral. Lineage: Eukaryota; Viridiplantae; Streptophyta; Magnoliopsida; Fabales; Fabaceae.
AGAUUUUGCGAAAAGGAUCUGCUGAAAGUGGUUGACAGGGAGUAUGUAUUUUCCUACAUAGAUGACCCAUGCAGUGGUACAUACCCACUGAUGCAAAAACUUAGGCAAGUGCUUGUAGACCAUGCCUUGAUAAAUGCAGAGAAUGAGAAGGAUGUCAACACAUCAAUCUUUCAAAAGAUUGCAACCUUUGAGGAGGAGUUGAAGACCAUCUUGCCAAAGGAGGUUGAAAGUACAAGGGCUGCUUAUGAGAGUGGGAAAGCUGCGAUUCCAAACAAGAUAAAAGAAUGCAGAUCUUACCCACUCUACAAGUUUGUGAGAGAGGAGUUGGGCACUGGGUUGCUAACUGGAGAAAAGGUGAAGUCACCAGGUGAAGAGUUUGACAAAUUAUUCACAGCAAUAUGCCAGGGCAAAAUUAUUGAUCCUCUACUCGAAUGCCUUGGAGAGUGGAAUGGAGCUCCUCUUCCAAUAUGUUAAUUUUAUUGUCACUUUCUAAAAUGUUUUCUUUGUAUCUAUGAACUCAAUGUUUUAAAACUAUGCAAUGUAAGUCAAUGUUUUAAAAUUUGGAUUGGUAUUCAAUUCAAUUUGAAUAUAUGUCAAUGCAUCAUCAAUUAUAUUAACAAGAUAUUAAUUAAUCUGCGUAAACCGUUCUUUAUUAAAAAAAAUAAAAAUGUAUGUUUGCAAAUCUUGUAUACCAUACACAAGAAACACAACAAAUUAACACAGUUUUAUAAACUCACAACAAAUUUGCUAGUUCACUUAUUGUUUAAAAACAAAAUAGAAACUUAAACUAAAAAUUUAAAUUUUUAAGAUGUAACUUUUUAUAUUUUAUUAUUUUUAAAAAAUAAAAAAUAAAAAUAUUUAUUUUAUAGAUAUAAUUUCUCUAAUACUAAGAAAAAUUAGGUGAAGUUAGGGUGCAUGGUCGACGGUGAUGAUUAAUUUAACCAUGAAGUUAAUCCUGAAUUGCGUAAUUAUCCACACUUGAUCAUUUCCCUCCCAAUGUUUUCUUUUUCAAUCAUAGUUUGUCGUCGUGGGAAAUCCUUUUUCUGACGAUGACAACUUGUUCUAUUUUCUUUUCUAUGCGUAAAUCCACCCCCGUAUGAACAAACUGAAGAUCCCAAAAUGUUAGAAGAAGAAACCCAUCAAAAAGUCAAGUUCAAAGACAAAGAAAAACUCGAGAAGCUCGGCUUUGCAACAUUUCCAUCACCACUGCCACAACCACCGCCGCUGUUGGCGCCGCCACUCCCCCAUUGCACGUGUCAUCCACCACUGGAAGAACCUCUUCCAAGUCAAUGUAUGUAGUCCGUUUUUAUUUGGCGGGUUAACCCGGUCGGAUCCAAACAGGUAAGACUGGUCCGAAGUGUGAUUCCAGUCAACAGUGGUUCCUUAUUAUAAAAAAGAAAAGAAAAAAGGGAUUUUUGGUGAUCGCCACAAAAUAAAAAAAAGAUUCAUGAUUAGAGCAGUUGACUUGAUUUCGAAUGUUACACAUCAGGCCAUGUGAUCCACACACUUCUUUACACAGACUUACUAUUCAUAUCUGCACAUGUCAUUUCACUUUGAUUCCAUAUAAAGUAUGUCUACUGUGAUUAGAUAAAUUCAUACUUGUACUAUUCUAAUUCAUCAAUUAAAUGAGUUUAGAUUUAUCACAAAAAAAAUAAUUUAAUUUAAUUUAAUUUGACAGUCACUUAGUUUGUAUGAAAUAUAUAUAUAUAUAUAUAUAUAUAUAUAUAUAUAUAUAUUCUGGCCGUUAUAAAGGACUUUAUAUAUGAUUGUCUUUUCAGAAACUUUUCCUUAAUAGUUCUUUUUAUAAUUAUUGGAUAAUUCUAACUAUUUUCAAUUUUGAAAAAUAUUUUUAAUAUUUUUUUUAAUUUUCAAGAAGCAAUCCAUAAUUACUUUGAUACCAUCAAUAAUUUUACAUUUACAUCACUUAUCACUCUUAAAAGUCAAAGUCAAUCACAUUUAAAAUAUACAUUCCUCUCUAAUUCUUUUGAGAGAUGAAACUCCAAAAUAAAAAAAUGAUAAUAACCUCAACUUAUACUUGAUCAAAACAAUAAUAUUUAAAAAUAAAAUAUCAAAAUUAGUAAAUAUGAAUUUAACUAUUUAACUGUAACUGUUUUUGGUUUUAACAAAUUAAUUGUAAUAUUUUAAAAUAAUUUAAGAAUAGAUAAUAAUAAUUUUUAAAUAAUUAAGAAUAAAAACUUUGAAAUUAAUCAUUUAAAAAUAAUUAACUAAAUCCAAUAUCUUUUUUAAAAAAAUGAAUAAUUUAGGUUUGAUUUACUUAUUUCAAUCCAAAUUUGUCUUAUCUUCAAAACAAUAUAUUCAUAACAUUUUAAAAAAAACUAUUAGUAAAUUUAAAAGGCAUAAUUUUUUUAGUGUUCAAAUGUUGAUCUAAAAGCUCAAGCGACAUAUACAAAGUAUAAUCAAAUUAAGCGAGGAGUUCUUCUUAUGUAGUGAAGAUGGGAUGUUCAAGCAACAUGUCCCUGAGUGCAAAAUCUAAGGUUAUAUAUAAUUACAGGAAAGUAUUCAACUAAAGUGUAUACUCUUUUAGUUAUCAACAAAAAAAAAUUAUAAAAAGGAUUAUAUAUAUAUAUAUGAUGUGAUCAAUUGGGAUUGUGGUAUUAAUUACAUAAAGUCAUAAAGACAAAAAAUUUCAACUUCACAAAUAGUUUAAAUAACCUAAAUUAAGUUGUUAUAUCAAUAAUAUUGUUUAUAGUAAAUUCAAAGUGUUACUUAAGAUCUCAUAUUAAAUAUAAAAAAACAAAACGAACAAUAUAUAAUUAUUAUUCGUCAAAUCUCUAUGCUAUUUUCCUUCCGGGAAAAAUUCAACACAAAAACCUACCCUUACAGAAAAGACACGGGCAAAACAAGAAGUUUGAUUUUAUCUUCUUAUAUUUUAAACAUUAUGCAUAAACUUAUGAUAACUUUACAAUUUAUUUUAAUAUCAUAAUUGUAAAAUUAAUAUUAAAUAUUUUUUUUACCGACACUAUAAAAAAAUUAUUAAAUAAAUUAAAUUUAGAGAUCAAAAUAAUUAGUUAUUAUUUAAUUAAAUUAGAUAUUAUUUUAUAAAUUAACAAAACUAUGAGUAUCUAAAGUAGUUUCUAUUAUUAAUAAAAAUUUAUAAAAUAGUUUUUAAAUUAUAUCUAACUAUUAGCUAUCAAAAUUUAGUUACUUAUUACUUUAUAUUUUAAAUUAAUUUUUAUUAAUAUUUUAGAGAUUAAUUUAAAAUUUAAAAUAUUAGUUACUAAAAUUUAGGUAACUAAUUUAGAUAUAAAUUUAAAAAUUAUUUAAUAAAUUUUUAUUAAUAAUAGAAAUCAUUUUAGACAAAUAAUUUUUUAAUCUCUAAAUUUAAAUUUAAUGUAAUUAAUAUAAUGAUUAAUUAUGUUUUUAUUUCUAAAUUUAAUUAUUAUGAUUUUCUUGUUGUAAUGGAAAAAAAGAAAAAUAUAAAAAAGAUAGUAACGUGUUUGAUUAUGCAUAUUAACUGUUCACGUGGAUUGAAAGAUGCUUACAUUGGAUAUGUUUGUUACUACUUAUUGAUUAUCGAUGAGUGCGAAGAAAUAAAAAAGAGAACCGUUGAAAGAGUUGAAAUUUUGCCUCCCCCAUUAUGACGUGGGAAGAGAAGAAAAAGAUAAGUAAUAACACAUAUAUUACUACUUUACUCAUUAUUUUAAACUUUAAACAACACUUCUCACAAUGCAUAAUCCAUUAAUUAUGACCUAUAGGAAUUAUUUAUAUAUGUAAUGUAACAAUGCUUAGGAGUAUGAUAAAUUAUGCAUUGAUGGUUUGUAAGCACAAAGGUUUUUUUGUAAUUUAAAUUUUCACUAUGGAUAAAUUUUAAUAAUAGUAGAAAAGAAAAUACUUUUAAACAUUAGAUUAAAUUCCCUCAACCAAACUAAUUGCAUAAAAAGAAGUGAUAGAAAAUAAUUAAUAUUAUAUUAUAUUAUUUAUAAUUUAAAAAUAUAUGAAAUUAAAGAAAUAUGAAAUAAAAAUUUAUUAAGCCUUAUAAAUAUUACGUAAUUUGUCCAAUUAUUUAUAAAUUUAGUCACUAUACAUUAUGAGGGUAAAAUAAUGUGAAUAAUUUAAUCAAGGAAAACAUAUUUGAUAUGUUGAAUUUUUAUUUAUAAUUUUUAAUUAAUUAUUUAAAAUUUAUUAAAUUAUAAAUGUUAUUUUUCAAUAUAUAAUUUACUAGACAUUCUUUUCUAUUUUAAAAAAGUGAUAUAAAAUUAUUUUCAAUUAAGUUUUUGGGUACUUUUACGUUACUAUAUUAGAUUGUUUUUACAUACUCGACUUUUAGAUUGCUUUUUACGUACUCAAUUAAGCAUCUUUCAAUCCACGUGAACAGUUAAUAUGCAUAAUCAAACACGUUACUAUCUUUUUUAUAUUUUUCUUUCCUCUGUUAAAAUAUAUUUAAGACUAAUUUUACAAUUAUGAUAUUGAAUUUUCUGUUUUUAUCAGAUACAAUUGUUACAUGUUUUUUAUCAUUAAUAUAGACAUAUGUAUUAGUUGGAGAUUUUUUUAUUAUUUGGGAGAAACACAUAUUUUUAAUAUUUUUUUAUACAAGUUAGAGCAUCCUUCAUUUAAUUUAUUCAAAUAAAAAAAAGUACUCGAUUACCAAAAAAAAAAGUGGAAAUUCAUUAUAUUGGUUUAAGAAGUGAAAAUUGAUUUGCAGUACAUGAUUAUGAAUAUGGGCAUUAAAUUGAUCACUAAAGAAGUACAUGGAUAUAAUUGAUUAUGCUGGCAUGCGCCUCUUCAUUCACAAAUAAAUGCAUGCAGAUUCAGAAACCAAAAAUGCUUUUAUAGAAAGUCCUUUAAUAUAUUUCAUUUGAAAUAAAUGAAGUCAAUAAGUCAAAACUUUGUGUUUUAUAUUUGUAUUUUAAGAAAUAAAUUAGAAAUUCUAAACAAUGUUUAUAUAUAUAUAUAUUAUUUGCAGUUAAAUUCAAUUAAUGGAUUGAUGUAAUGAUUAUAAAUUUAAUUUUUUUUUAAAGUAAUUUAUAUUUACUUUAAUUUUUUUAAAUAUCAUCACACUAAGAUAAAAAUAUGUUACACAUAAAAAUAUAUUGGUUUAAAUAAUUGUAAUGGCAUUUCAUAUAUAUAUAUAUAUAUUGAUAGUUAAUAUUUUUAUUCUCCUAUUUUAAACUAAUCUUAAUUUUCUUCUAUUUGAAAUUAAAACAAAUUAAUUGAAUUUUAGUUCAAUAGCAGUGAUUUUGAUUCUAUUUUAUUGCAAAAUAAUAUUAACAAAAUAAAUUAAAUUUAUAUGAAAGUAUAAAAUUAUAUUACAAAUUUAAUUGUUUUUUAAAAUCCAUGUAAUUUUUAUAAAAUAUUAUUAUUAUGAUAAAUUUAAAUUUUAUUUUAAAUUUUAUAAAUUAAUUACUUCAUAUUAAUCAUCUUUCAAUUUAAUUCAUGUUCAAUUUUAUUAAAAUUAAAUCAAUGGUAUGUUUGCAAUUUAUUAUACUACUCAAUUAAUUUUGUUCAUCAGAUUGAUCAAAUUUCCUAUAGGCUUUUCACCCAGUUACCUCAUUGUGAACUUUUCAUAUUUAUAGUUAUACUUUUUAAAUUAUAAUUAAAAUAAAAAAUAAAGUUAUAACGAAGGUUUGAAAUUAAUUUCUUGUAUUCUAUGGAUUAUAAAUUACUCAGGCUCUUGACAUAGAAAUAUAAAUUUCUUAAGAAUAAAUAUAUCCUAAUAUUUUUUAUUAUUACCUUCUAACAAAUAUAAAAAUAAUAAACAUACGUACUUUCAUAUUUGUAAUAAUAAGAAUAGCCACCUAGCGUGUACUCAUAACAGUAUGAUAAAGACAUUUACUUACUACUACUACCACCAAAUUUUAUUAGCAAAAGACUACCACUUACGAAAAGAAAUUUUCAAAUAAUUAAGUAUUUUAGUGAAAGGCUUUGUCGGAUUGUUUAGGAGGCAAUCAAGUGCUAAAAUGUAGGGCAACAAAAGAAUUAUUUUUGAACCAUUAUAAUCUAACUCCAUUACCAAAAAAAAAAAUUCUUGAAAAACUUAUAAAUAGAUUUGAUAUUAAAAGAACACACAUUAAAGAAAAGUUAUAUAAAUUGUUAUUAACUUCCACUAUCCAGAAUCAAUAAUGAGAUAAUAGGAUAGAGAGAAUGAGUGAGAUAAAGAAUAGAAAAGUUGACUAUUGAGCAGACUAAUUUGAAGUAAAGGAAUAGUAUAGAAAUAUGGAUGGAUAGAGACACGAGGAAGUGCUACAAUGUCAUGUUCCUAGCAAAACUCACCAACCACCUCUUAAGUUUUAGUCCAUCCCGUUGGGCGCCACCACACUCAGCUACCAAGAAACAACCCCAAUGCGCUCUUCCACGUGUCACAAUCCCAUACUAAGUUCCAAUCCAACGCUUCUAAUUACUUUUCAACAAACCCCAUUUCGCAUUCCUUUCAGCUACCUACCAAACACCGUUGCAUGACACCACACGAACCGCACCUCUAUAUAACUCUCCAACCAAACUCUAUUCUUCUCAGGAAAUCCUCAACACACAUCAACAUUUCCUCACUCUCUCUCUCUCUCUCUCUCUACACAAAACUCACCUCCAUUUUUUCAUUCUCUUCAUUUUAUCACGAUGGAAGCAACUACCCUUACCAACGCCCAAAACGGUUCCUUCUGCCUCCCAUCCGCCAAGACCACUGAUCCGCUCAAUUGGGGAACGGCCGCGGAGGCGCUCAAGGGGAGCCACCUCGACGAGGUCAAGCGCAUGGUGGCCGAAUACCGCCAGCCGCUGGUCCGCCUCGGCGGCGAGACGCUCACCAUCGCUCAGGUGGCGGCGGUGUCUGGCCACGACCAAGGCGUGAGGGUUGAGCUGUCGGAGUCCGCUCGGGAAGGUGUUAAGGCGAGCAGUGAGUGGGUGAUGAACAGCAUGAACAAUGGUACUGACAGUUACGGCGUCACCACCGGCUUCGGUGCCACCUCCCACCGCCGAACCAAACAAGGUGGUGCUCUGCAGAAAGAACUCAUCAGGUAACUAACUCUACUCUACUCUACUCUACUCCCUCUGUAUACACACACAUACACUCUACGUAUAUGUAUACGUUUCGUAGUCGAAUGUAUUUUCUCGGUACGGUACUCAUCAGGUUACCUAUAAUCUAACCGUUUCAUAAAUUAAUUACUACAACCUAAAACAGUAACGUUGUUCAUAUUAAAUUUUUAGUUUAUCAUUGAAUUGCCAUUUUACAUUUAAAAUAAUUUGUACAAAGUUAGUUUCAAGAUAUUGGUAUUUUUAAAAUAACUAAAAGAUCGGAACUUAAGAGAGUAGGCUUUUUGUAACGAUAGAACACUAAAAUUAUAUCAUUCUAUAAUUGUUUUUUAUAUAACCAACUAAAUAACGAGGAUUACGAAGAAACAUAUUUUUUAGAUGAAAUUCUGGUCUUUAUGAUUUAUUAGAAUUACAUUCUUAUUAAUAGAUAAAAAUAAUAUUAAAAGAUGGAGUAUAUAAAAGAAAAAAUCUACUUUGAGUGAAUUAACCGUCCCGGAAAAUAAUAAUAUUUUUGGGACAUGGGACUUUGAUGUGAAAACAGUGAUGAAGGAGUCUGAGACGGAUAAGAAAAAACAUAUAAUUUAUUAGCAUAAGGCGUCUUAAGUAGGGGAUGGGUUGGUGAGACUACUACCCAUGUUUGACUCAACUUCUUCCCAUUCAUGUCAUUUCUAAUUUUGUUUUUGUUUUAUUUUAUUUUAAGUUGGACGGCUCUUACCUAACUAUACCCAUUUAAGAAAGGAUAACAAUACAUUCAAAAUCCCAAUUUUGUAAUAAUUAUAUUCUAAUUUCUAAUACUAUACUUUUUUAUAUUAUUUAAUUAUAAAUUUAUUUUUUUAUUAUAUAUUUAUUUUUAAAUCGAUAAUGAUUCUCAAACUAUAUUCUCUUAUAAGAAAAUGCCAACCGCUAAAAAUAUUCAACUUUUAUAUCAACCAUAUCAAAAGUUAAAAGCUUUUAUACUAAAACUACUAUAUUAUAAAUGAAUAUUUCUUACACCACCAAAUAACUUUUUACACUAUCUCUCUUUUAGCUAUGGAUUCUCAUUUACCUGAACUCAUUUCAGUCUUGUCUUUAAAUGUUUUUAUAUUAAUUAUUUGUAAACAUAUAGGUAACGCGCUUUCUUUCAAGGUGGAUUUAUUUUAUAAUUCAUUUUAAACUGGAAUUCCUAAUGUAACUUUUUUUAAUCUUCUUCAGGUUUUUAAACGCUGGAAUAUUUGGAAAUGGGACUGAAUCAUCCCACACACUGCCACACACUGCAACCAGAGCAGCCAUGUUAGUGAGGAUCAACACUCUUCUUCAAGGCUACUCAGGCAUCAGAUUUGAAAUCUUAGAAUCCAUCACCAAGCUCCUUAACAACAACGUUACCCCAUGUUUGCCACUUCGUGGUACAAUCACAGCUUCUGGAGAUCUUGUUCCACUUUCCUAUAUUGCUGGUUUGCUCACUGGCAGACCUAACUCCAAAGCUGUUGGACCUUCUGGAGAAGUACUUACUGCUAAGCAAGCUUUUGAAUUGGCUAACAUCAAUUCUGAGUUCUAUGAAUUGCAACCCAAGGAAGGCCUUGCCCUUGUUAAUGGCACGGCUGUCGGUUCUGGCAUGGCUUCUAUAGUUCUCUUUGAUGCAAAUAUACUAGCUGUGUUGUCUGAAGUUCUAUCAGCUAUUUUUGCCGAAGUGAUGCAAGGGAAACCUGAGUUUACUGAUCAUUUGACACACAAGUUGAAGCACCACCCUGGUCAAAUUGAGGCUGCUGCCAUUAUGGAGCACAUUUUGGAUGGAAGUUCCUACAUGAAGGAUGCUAAGAAGCUGCAUGAAAUAGAUCCGUUGCAAAAGCCAAAACAAGAUAGAUAUGCCCUCAGAACUUCACCACAGUGGCUUGGUCCUCUCAUUGAAGUCAUUCGUUUCUCCACCAAGUCAAUUGAGAGAGAGAUUAACUCCGUGAAUGACAACCCUCUUAUUGAUGUUUCAAGGAACAAGGCAUUGCAUGGUGGUAAUUUCCAAGGAACCCCAAUUGGAGUCUCCAUGGACAACACUCGUUUGGCUCUUGCAUCUAUCGGCAAACUCAUGUUUGCUCAAUUCUCCGAGCUUGUCAAUGAUUUCUACAACAACGGUCUGCCUUCAAAUCUCACUGCUAGCAGAAAUCCUAGCUUGGAUUAUGGUUUCAAGGGAGCUGAAAUUGCCAUGGCUUCCUAUUGCUCUGAACUCCAGUAUCUGGCAAAUCCAGUAACAAGCCAUGUCCAAAGUGCUGAGCAACACAACCAAGAUGUGAACUCUUUGGGUUUGAUUUCAGCUAGGAAGACAAAUGAAUCUAUUGAGAUCCUUAAGCUCAUGUCUUCCACGUUCUUGAUGGGACUUUGCCAAGCAAUUGACUUGAGGCAUUUGGAGGAGAAUUUGAAAAGCUCGGUCAAGAACACUGUGAGUCAAGUUUCCAAGAGGACUCUUACCACAGGUGGCAACGGAGAACUCCAUCCUUCAAGAUUUUGCGAAAAGGAUCUGCUGAAAGUGGUUGACAGGGAGUAUGUAUUUUCCUACAUAGAUGACCCAUGCAGUGGUACAUACCCACUGAUGCAAAAACUUAGGCAAGUGCUUGUAGACCAUGCCUUGAUAAAUGCAGAGAAUGAGAAGGAUGUCAACACAUCAAUCUUUCAAAAGAUUGCAACCUUUGAGGAGGAGUUGAAGACCAUCUUGCCAAAGGAGGUUGAAAGUACAAGGGCUGCUUAUGAGAGUGGG